This 70-nucleotide transfer RNA is filed under the name Notophthalmus meridionalis (black-spotted newt). Its description in RNAcentral is "tRNA-Gln". It matches the Rfam family "tRNA". From Rfam's summary of the family: Transfer RNA (tRNA) molecules are approximately 80 nucleotides in length. Their secondary structure includes four short double-helical elements and three loops (D, anti-codon, and T loops). Further hydrogen bonds mediate the characteristic L-shaped molecular structure. tRNAs have two regions of fundamental functional importance: the anti-codon, which is responsible for specific mRNA codon recognition, and the 3' end, to which the tRNAs corresponding amino acid is attached (by aminoacyl-tRNA synthetases). tRNAs cope with the degeneracy of the genetic code in two manners: having more than one tRNA (with a specific anti-codon) for a particular amino acid; and 'wobble' base-pairing, i.e. permitting non-standard base-pairing at the 3rd anti-codon position. Lineage: Eukaryota; Metazoa; Chordata; Amphibia; Caudata; Salamandridae. The record is from RNAcentral.
UAAAAAGUGGUGUAGUGGAAGCACGAGGGGUUUUGAUCUCCUGAGGGCGGGUUCAAGUCCUGUCUUUUUA